RNAcentral lists this microRNA (22 nucleotides) under Drosophila ananassae. Its description in RNAcentral is "Dan-Novel-12-P1_5p (mature (co-guide))". The record is from RNAcentral. Lineage: Eukaryota; Metazoa; Arthropoda; Insecta; Diptera; Drosophilidae.
AAAAGCUGGCGGAAAAAAUCGU